Molecule: ribosomal RNA, 526 nt
Filed under: uncultured bacterium
Lineage: Bacteria
Description: bacterial SSU rRNA
Rfam family: Bacterial small subunit ribosomal RNA
Source: RNAcentral
CUGGGAAUCGUACACAAUGGGCGAAAGCCUGAUGCAGCAACGCCGCGUGCGCGAUGAAGGCCUUCGGGUCGUAAAGCGCUUUUCGGGGGGAUGAGAGAGGACAGUACCCCCGGAAUAAGUCUCGGCUAACUACGUGCCAGCAGCCGCGGUAAAACGUAGGAGGCAAGCGUUAUCCGGAUUCACUGGGCGUAAAGCGCAUGUAGGCGGUCUGGUAAGUCGGACGUGAAAGCUCCUGGCUCAACUGGGAGAGGCCGUUCGAAACUACCAGACUCGAGGGCAGUAGAGGGAGGUGGAAUUCCGGGUGUAGCGGUGAAAUGCGUAGAUAUCCGGAGGAACACCAGUGGCGAAGGCGGCCUCCUGGACUGUCCCUGACGCUCAGAUGCGAAAGCUAGGGGAGCGAACGGGAUUAGACACCCCGGUAGUCCUAGCUGUAAACGAUGCGGACUUGGUGUUGGUGGCUUAAACCCCAUCAGUGCCGCAGCUAACGCGAUAAGUCCGCCGCCUGGGGACUACGGCCGCAAGGCUA